Molecule: ribosomal RNA, 447 nt
Filed under: uncultured bacterium
Lineage: Bacteria
Description: bacterial SSU rRNA
Rfam family: Bacterial small subunit ribosomal RNA
Source: RNAcentral
UGCCAGACUCCUACGGGAGGCAGCAGUGGGGAAUAUUGCACAAUGGGGGGAACCCUGAUGCAGCAAUGCCGCGUGGGUGAAGAAGUACCCCGGUAUGUAAAGCCCUGUCAGCAGGGAAGAAAAUGACGGUACCUGACUAAGAAGCCCCGGCUAACUACGUGCCAGCAGCCGCGGUAAUACGUAGGGGGCGAGCGUUAUCCGGAUUUACUGGGUGUAAAGGGAGCGCAGGCGGCGUGGCAAGUCAGAUGUGAAAACCCGGGGCCCAACCCCGGGACUGCAUUUGAAACUGCCAUGCUGGAGUGCCGGAGAGGCAAGUGGAAUUCCUAGUGUAGCGGUGAAAUGCGUAGAUAUUAGGAGGAACACCAGUGGCGGAGGCGGCUUGCUGGACGGUAACUGACGCUGAGGCUCGAAAGCGUGGGGAGCAAACAGGAUUAGAUACCCCAGUAU